This 563-nucleotide ribosomal RNA is filed under the name Acinetobacter sp. HPC283. RNAcentral describes it as "bacterial SSU rRNA". It matches the Rfam family "Bacterial small subunit ribosomal RNA", at positions 100 to 659 of the family's 1533-position model. The record is from RNAcentral. Lineage: Bacteria; Pseudomonadati; Pseudomonadota; Gammaproteobacteria; Moraxellales; Moraxellaceae.
ACGGGGUGAGUAAUGCUUAGGAAUCUGCCUAUGAGUGGGGGACAACAUCUCGAAAGGGAUGCUAAUACCGCACACGUCCUACGGGAGAAAGCAGGGGACCUUCGGGCCUUGCGCUAAUAGAUGAGCCUAAGUCGGAUUAGCUAGUUGGUGGGGUAAAGGCCUACCAAGGCGACGAUCUGUAGCGGGUCUGAGAGGAUGAUCCGCCACACUGGGACUGAGACACGGCCCAGACUCCUACGGGAGGCAGCAGUGGGGAAUAUUGGACAAUGGGGGGAACCCUGAUCCAGCCAUGCCGCGUGUGUGAAGAAGGCCUUUUGGUUGUAAAGCACUUUAAGCGAGGAGGAGGCUACCGAGAUUAAUACUCUUGGAUAGUGGACGUUACUCGCAGAAUAAGCACCGGCUAACUCUGUGCCAGCAGCCGCGGUAAUACAGAGGGUGCAAGCGUUAAUCGGAUUUACUGGGCGUAAAGCGCGCGUAGGUGGCCAAUUAAGUCAAAUGUGAAAUCCCCGAGCUUAACUUGGGAAUUGCAUUCGAUACUGGUUGGCUAGAGUAUGGGAGAGGAU